Molecule: ribosomal RNA, 301 nt
Filed under: uncultured bacterium
Lineage: Bacteria
Description: partial 16S ribosomal RNA
Rfam family: Bacterial small subunit ribosomal RNA
Source: RNAcentral
CAGUAGCCGCGGGAAGACAGAGGAUGCAAGCGUUGUUCGGAAUUAUUGGGCGUAAAGGGUGCGUAGGCGGUCUGAUAAGUCAUCUGUGAAAUCUCUGGGCUCAACCCAGAGUCUGCAGGCGAAACUGUCGAGCUUGAGUAUUGGAGAGGUGAGUGGAAUUUCCGGUGUAGCGGUGAAAUGCGUUGAGAUCGAAAAGAACACCAACAGCGAAAGCACUCUGCUGGGACGACACUGACACUUAGAGACGAAAGCUAGGGGAGCAAAUGGGAUUAGAUACCCCCGUAGUCCCUGUCUCUUAUAC